RNAcentral lists this ribosomal RNA (488 nucleotides) under uncultured Chloroflexota bacterium. RNAcentral describes it as "bacterial SSU rRNA". It matches the Rfam family "Bacterial small subunit ribosomal RNA", at positions 355 to 859 of the family's 1533-position model. Lineage: Bacteria; Bacillati; Chloroflexota. The record is from RNAcentral.
UAGGGAAUAUUGGUAAUGGGCGAAAGCCUGAACCAGCAACGCCGCGUGCGCGAUGAAGGCCUUCGGGUUGUAAAGCGCUUUUUGAGGGGAUGAGGAAGGACAGUACCCUCAGAAUAAGCCUCGGCUAACUACGUGCCAGCAGCCGCGGUAAAACGUAGGAGACGAGCGUUAUUCGGAUUUACUGGGCGUAAAGCGCGUGCAGGCGGCUCGGAAAGUUGGAUGUGAAAGCUCCUGGCUUAACUGGGAGAGGUCGUUCAAUACUACCGGGCUUGAGAGUGUGAGAGGGAGGUGGAAUUCCGGGUGUAGUGGUGAAAUGCGUAGAUAUCCGGAGGAACACCAGUGGCGAAAGCGGCCUCCUGGCACAUUUCUGACGCUCAGACGCGAAAGCUAGGGUAGCAAACGGGAUUAGAGACCCCGGUAGUCCUAGCCGUAAACGAUGUAGACUUGGCGUGGGUGGGUUCAAAUCCAUCUGUGCCGGAGCUAACGCA